UUGUCUUGAACUUCCCAUUCACUGAUCCAACACAAGAGGAUACAAGUAGGGCAACUGAGAUUAAUUUGAAUUCAAGGAUAAUUAUGUGUAGAUAAUAGCUAUCAAUCAAAGCACUAUCCUAAAACCAAUAAAAUCAUUUUGACAAGUUUCAAUUAUAUAUAUUUAUGCCCAAGAACUUUUGAAAUUCUGAAAAUGAAAGAACUUGUAAGACCAUAAAAAACCAAGUGGACCAUUUUAGAAAAUGUAAUGAAUGAUCCAUGCUGUAUGUCACAAGGGUGUCUCAAUCCCACGUCGGAAAGGAACGGAGGUCCUGGGCUUCUUAUAAGCGGGUGUGCUGCACACCCCAUCAGUUGCAUCUUUUGGGGAGAGUGUAAUGACCCCGUGACAAUAGCGGCAUCAAAGCCAACUAGGCCUCUUCCAACUCACGCCAAGUGCCCGGACGGACCAGGGUAGGCAGGGUGGCCGGCAGCUGGAAUCAGGUGGGGGAGAGUGUCACAAGAGUGUCCCAAUCCCACAUCGAAAAGGAACGAAGGUCCUGGGUUCCUUAUAAGCGGGUGUGUUGCACACCCUAUCAGGUGCAUCUUUUGGGGGGAGGGUAAUGACCCCGUGACAUGUAUCACAUAAAAGUUGUUCCCAGGACUCAAAACUCAAAGUGUGCUGAGAUAUCUUCAAUCACAUAAGAUAUCAUAUAGGUAAAA
This 698-nucleotide unclassified non-coding RNA is filed under the name Hevea brasiliensis (rubber tree). Lineage: Eukaryota; Viridiplantae; Streptophyta; Magnoliopsida; Malpighiales; Euphorbiaceae. The record is from RNAcentral.